GGUUGACACUUCUUUAUUUUGUGAUGGAAUUAUGUUGAAACUUGAAUGUAUAAUAUUGUAUUAAUUUUUUUAUUAAUGUAAUAACAAAAAGGAAAUGAAACUACUUACUUAAAAAAUGCCCCUCCUAAAUUGUUCAACCAGAACGGAGGAAGACAUACACACAGCAUGGAACUAUAACCAUGGGAAAGAGAAAGAAAAAACGAGGAAGUCUCCCAAAAAAAUACAUAAAAAUUUGAAGAGGAAAAAAAAGGGAGAAGGAAAGGAAGUCUAUAAGAAGAUGCAUGAAAGGAAAGAAGAGAGUGGAAAAUUUGCAGAAUCAAAGACUUAACUGAAGAAAGAAUAAUUAAGAAAGUGCAACAUUAUCUCUUCAGAUAUGUUCUUAAUUGUAACAACUGAGGGA
This 400-nucleotide long non-coding RNA is filed under the name Androctonus crassicauda. The record is from RNAcentral. Lineage: Eukaryota; Metazoa; Arthropoda; Arachnida; Scorpiones; Buthidae.